GGAGAGAUGGUCGAGCUGGUUUAAGGCACCGGUCUUGAAAACCGGCGUAGGUGUGAGCCUACCGUGAGUUCGAAUCUCACUCUCUCCG
Molecule: transfer RNA, 88 nt
Filed under: Anaerobacterium chartisolvens
Lineage: Bacteria; Bacillati; Bacillota; Clostridia; Eubacteriales; Oscillospiraceae
Rfam family: tRNA
About the family: Transfer RNA (tRNA) molecules are approximately 80 nucleotides in length.
Source: Rfam by way of RNAcentral